RNAcentral lists this ribosomal RNA (1218 nucleotides) under Leuconostoc carnosum. RNAcentral's name for it is "bacterial SSU rRNA". It matches the Rfam family "Bacterial small subunit ribosomal RNA", at positions 242 to 1454 of the family's 1533-position model. The record is from RNAcentral. Lineage: Bacteria; Bacillati; Bacillota; Bacilli; Lactobacillales; Lactobacillaceae.
UAGUUAGUUGGUGGGUAAAGGCCUCCCAAGACAAUGAUGCAUAGCCGAGUUGAGAGACUGAUCGGCCACAUUGGGACUGAGACACGGCCCAAACUCCUACGGGAGGCUGCAGUAGGGAAUCUUCCACAAUGGGCGAAAGCCUGAUGGAGCAACGCCGCGUGUGUGAUGAAGGCUUUCGGGUCGUAAAGCACUGUUGUAUGGGAAGAAAAGUUAAGGUAGGGAAUGACCUUAGCCUGACGGUACCAUACCAGAAAGGGACGGCUAAAUACGUGCCAGCAGCCGCGGUAAUACGUAUGUCCCGAGCGUUAUCCGGAUUUAUUGGGCGUAAAGCGAGCGCAGACGGUUGGUUAAGUCUGAUGUGAAAGCCCGGAGCUCAACUCCGGAAAGGCAUUGGAAACUGGUUAACUUGAGUGCAGUAGAGGUAAGUGGAACUCCAUGUGUAGCGGUGGAAUGCGUAGAUAUAUGGAAGAACACCAGCGGCGAAGGCGGCUUACUGGACUGUAACUGACGUUGAGGCUCGAAAGUGUGGGUAGCAAACAGGAUUAGAUACCCUGGUAGUCCACACCGUAAACGAUGAACACUAGGUGUUAGGAGGUUUCCGCCUCUUAGUGCCGAAGCUAACGCAUUAAGUGUUCCGCCUGGGGAGUACGACCGCAAGGUUGAAACUCAAAGGAAUUGACGGGGACCCGCACAAGCGGUGGAGCAUGUGGUUUAAUUCGAAGCAACGCGAAGAACCUUACCAGGUCUUGACAUCCUUUGAAGCUUUUAGAAAUAGAAGUGUUCUCUUCGGAGACAAAGUGACAGGUGGUGCAUGGUCGUCGUCAGCUCGUGUCGUGAGAUGUUGGGUUAAGUCCCGCAACGAGCGCAACCCUUAUUGUUAGUUGCCAGCAUUCAGAUGGGCACUCUAGCGAGACUGCCGGUGACAAACCGGAGGAAGGCGGGGACGACGUCAGAUCAUCAUGCCCCUUAUGACCUGGGCUACACACGUGCUACAAUGGCGUAUACAACGAGUUGCCAACCUGCGAAGGUGAGCUAAUCUCUUAAAGUACGUCUCAGUUCGGACUGCAGUCUGCAACUCGACUGCACGAAGUCGGAAUCGCUAGUAAUCGCGGAUCAGCACGCCGCGGUGAAUACGUUCCCGGGUCUUGUACACACCGCCCGUCACACCAUGGAAGUUUGUAAUGCCCAAAGCCGGUGGCCUAACCGUAAGGAGGAACC